This 2904-nucleotide ribosomal RNA is filed under the name Escherichia coli. RNAcentral describes it as "23S ribosomal RNA". It matches the Rfam family "Bacterial large subunit ribosomal RNA". The record is from RNAcentral. Lineage: Bacteria; Pseudomonadati; Pseudomonadota; Gammaproteobacteria; Enterobacterales; Enterobacteriaceae.
GGUUAAGCGACUAAGCGUACACGGUGGAUGCCCUGGCAGUCAGAGGCGAUGAAGGACGUGCUAAUCUGCGAUAAGCGUCGGUAAGGUGAUAUGAACCGUUAUAACCGGCGAUUUCCGAAUGGGGAAACCCAGUGUGUUUCGACACACUAUCAUUAACUGAAUCCAUAGGUUAAUGAGGCGAACCGGGGGAACUGAAACAUCUAAGUACCCCGAGGAAAAGAAAUCAACCGAGAUUCUCCCAGUAGCGGCGAGCGAACGGGGAGCAGCCCAGAGCCUGAAUCAGUGUGUGUGUUAGUGGAAGCGUCUGGAAAGGCGCGCGAUACAGGGUGACAGCCCCGUACACAAAAAUGCACAUGCUGUGAGCUCGAUGAGUAGGGCGGGACACGUGGUAUCCUGUCUGAAUAUGGGGGGACCAUCCUCCAAGGCUAAAUACUCCUGACUGACCGAUAGUGAACCAGUACCGUGAGGGAAAGGCGAAAAGAACCCCGGCGAGGGGAGUGAAAAAGAACCUGAAACCGUGUACGUACAAGCAGUGGGAGCACGCUUAGGCGUGUGACUGCGUACCUUUUGUAUAAUGGGUCAGCGACUUAUAUUCUGUAGCAAGGUUAACCGAAUAGGGGAGCCGAAGGGAAACCGAGUCUUAACUGGGCGUUAAGUUGCAGGGUAUAGACCCGAAACCCGGUGAUCUAGCCAUGGGCAGGUUGAAGGUUGGGUAACACUAACUGGAGGACCGAACCGACUAAUGUUGAAAAAUUAGCGGAUGACUUGUGGCUGGGGGUGAAAGGCCAAUCAAACCGGGAGAUAGCUGGUUCUCCCCGAAAGCUAUUUAGGUAGCGCCUCGUGAAUUCAUCUCCGGGGUAGAGCACUGUUUCGGCAAGGGGGUCAUCCCGACUUACCAACCCGAUGCAAACUGCGAAUACCGGAGAAUGUUAUCACGGGAGACACACGGCGGGUGCUAACGUCCGUCGUGAAGAGGGAAACAACCCAGACCGCCAGCUAAGGUCCCAAAGUCAUGGUUAAGUGGGAAACGAUGUGGGAAGGCCCAGACAGCCAGGAUGUUGGCUUAGAAGCAGCCAUCAUUUAAAGAAAGCGUAAUAGCUCACUGGUCGAGUCGGCCUGCGCGGAAGAUGUAACGGGGCUAAACCAUGCACCGAAGCUGCGGCAGCGACACUAUGUGUUGUUGGGUAGGGGAGCGUUCUGUAAGCCUGUGAAGGUGUGCUGUGAGGCAUGCUGGAGGUAUCAGAAGUGCGAAUGCUGACAUAAGUAACGAUAAAGCGGGUGAAAAGCCCGCUCGCCGGAAGACCAAGGGUUCCUGUCCAACGUUAAUCGGGGCAGGGUGAGUCGACCCCUAAGGCGAGGCCGAAAGGCGUAGUCGAUGGGAAACAGGUUAAUAUUCCUGUACUUGGUGUUACUGCGAAGGGGGGACGGAGAAGGCUAUGUUGGCCGGGCGACGGUUGUCCCGGUUUAAGCGUGUAGGCUGGUUUUCCAGGCAAAUCCGGAAAAUCAAGGCUGAGGCGUGAUGACGAGGCACUACGGUGCUGAAGCAACAAAUGCCCUGCUUCCAGGAAAAGCCUCUAAGCAUCAGGUAACAUCAAAUCGUACCCCAAACCGACACAGGUGGUCAGGUAGAGAAUACCAAGGCGCUUGAGAGAACUCGGGUGAAGGAACUAGGCAAAAUGGUGCCGUAACUUCGGGAGAAGGCACGCUGAUAUGUAGGUGAAGUCCCUCGCGGAUGGAGCUGAAAUCAGUCGAAGAUACCAGCUGGCUGCAACUGUUUAUUAAAAACACAGCACUGUGCAAACACGAAAGUGGACGUAUACGGUGUGACGCCUGCCCGGUGCCGGAAGGUUAAUUGAUGGGGUUAGCCGCAAGGCGAAGCUCUUGAUCGAAGCCCCGGUAAACGGCGGCCGUAACUAUAACGGUCCUAAGGUAGCGAAAUUCCUUGUCGGGUAAGUUCCGACCUGCACGAAUGGCGUAAUGAUGGCCGGGCUGUCUCCACCCGAGACUCAGUGAAAUUGAACUCGCUGUGAAGAUGCAGUGUACCCGCGGCAAGACGGAAAGACCCCGUGAACCUUUACUAUAGCUUGACACUGAACAUUGAGCCUUGAUGUGUAGGAUAGGUGGGAGGCUUUGAAGUGUGGACGCCAGUCUGCAUGGAGCCGACCUUGAAAUACCACCCUUUAAUGUUUGAUGUUCUAACGUUGACCCGUAAUCCGGGUUGCGGACAGUGUCUGGUGGGUAGUUUGACUGGGGCGGUCUCCUCCUAAAGAGUAACGGAGGAGCACGAAGGUUGGCUAAUCCUGGUCGGACAUCAGGAGGUUAGUGCAAUGGCAUAAGCCAGCUUGACUGCGAGCGUGACGGCGCGAGCAGGUGCGAAAGCAGGUCAUAGUGAUCCGGUGGUUCUGAAUGGAAGGGCCAUCGCUCAACGGAUAAAAGGUACUCCGGGGAUAACAGGCUGAUACCGCCCAAGAGUUCAUAUCGACGGCGGUGUUUGGCACCUCGAUGUCGGCUCAUCACAUCCUGGGGCUGAAGUAGGUCCCAAGGGUAUGGCUGUUCGCCAUUUAAAGUGGUACGCGAGCUGGGUUUAGAACGUCGUGAGACAGUUCGGUCCCUAUCUGCCGUGGGCGCUGGAGAACUGAGGGGGGCUGCUCCUAGUACGAGAGGACCGGAGUGGACGCAUCACUGGUGUUCGGGUUGUCAUGCCAAUGGCACUGCCCGGUAGCUAAAUGCGGAAGAGAUAAGUGCUGAAAGCAUCUAAGCACGAAACUUGCCCCGAGAUGAGUUCUCCCUGACUCCUUGAGAGUCCUGAAGGAACGUUGAAGACGACGACGUUGAUAGGCCGGGUGUGUAAGCGCAGCGAUGCGUUGAGCUAACCGGUACUAAUGAACCGUGAGGCUUAACCUU